Cricetulus griseus (Chinese hamster) is the source of this 2271-nucleotide non-coding RNA. NCBI's taxonomy places the organism in Eukaryota, Metazoa, Chordata, Mammalia, Rodentia, Cricetidae. The record is from RefSeq and is a predicted model, not a curated record.
AGUGUUCUCAGCCACUGAGCCACCUCCCUAGCCUUCAUACCCAGCUUUUAAAAUGUGGGUUCUGGGGAUCAUAUUCUGGUCUUCAUGCUUGCAUGAUAAGCACUUUACUGCCUGGAACAUCUCCCCAGUCCAGAACUGGCCUUCUGAGGGGAGAGCCAACCACACUUGGGAGCUCUCUACACACCUCCAGGGACAGGCUGACCCAGAGAGAGUGUGGAGCUGAAGUGCAAGCUCUCCUGACCACAGCCCACAUUGACCAUCUGUAUGUAGGGAGAGCAAUUCUAUUCGAAGCACCAAACAUCAUUGUGAGCUAUGGCAUCCACAGCAUCUCUCGAUGCAGAGGCAAGUGUAGGACAGGACACUGUGCUAGAGAGGGAAAAGCAGCCCCCUCCUGUUUUUACUCCUGAAAAGAAAAGACCCUGCCUUGGAAAAGGUGGGGGAGAUAAUGGCUCAGAACAGAAUAACCCGCUGAUGGAAAAAAUUGGCUCUGUGUACUGGGAGGGAAUUCAGGGAGAGGGAACAGACUGACAGGACUGUGGCAGCUCAAGGCAGUCCAAGGGGAACAGCAGGCAAGGCUGACUGGAGUGGGCAACAUGCUCUCUACCCCCAAACCCCUGAGAAGUUCGGCCGCAAUUUGAAAGGUCACAAUCUUCUCAUUCAAUUGCAGGGCUCCUUCAGGAGGCUUUUGUCCUCCACAUGCAGGCCAGUGGUGCAAAGGCCUGCCCAGCCCUGGGAGGCUGGCUUUUGAUUCAUUCUGUAAUCACAGCCACUGAAAUUGGAAUUCCAACGCUGGUAUUGUGUGGCUGGGUAGCCUGAUUGACGGGGCUGCCAAGCGGCUGGCCCUGCAGAAGGGCCAGGAGUCACUCUACAUCAAUCCCGUUGUUUGUGCAGCUUUGUGCGCCCCUGGGGGGCCGUUUCUAGCUGGCAAUGGUUAUUUAUGUCUCUUCUUUAAAUACGUCCCUCUCUAAGCGCUCUGAUAAUUGGAGCAACGGGGCCCCACAAAUCCAUGUGAAAUCGCCUGCCAGCUCCACACACGGUGGUCCCCAGGGUGGGAGAGAGAGGCCCACUCCAUGCUGAUGCCAUAAAGGGAGAAAGUGGGGCCUGGUGUAAGCCUGGGCUCAUGACCCACUGGCAUACAAAAAUGGAGGCCCCAUCACUGACCUCACACGGCUCCUCAAGACUAUACCGCCUUCCAGAAGAGGCCAGGCCGAUGACUUCAUACCAAGAAAGGCUACCAGAAAACAGUGCUGGAGAUCGACACGCCCAAAGUGGAGCAAGUCCCCAUUGUGGAUAUCAUGUUCAACGACUUUGGUGAAGCCUCACAGAAAUUUGGAUUUGAAGUGGGGCCGGCUUGCUUCCUAGGUUAGGAGCUGCUGAGCCCACCGGUCUUCAGAGCAACCUCGUGACCUCAGCACCCCACCUGUGGGUGUCCUGUGCACGGCCCAUCCUGGACAGUGAACAUUUCUCACCCCUGCCUGCCUGACUCAUCUGUGCCUCGGACCCUCCGUGGCAUUGGACCCCACACCAAUGAGAACAAAGGGAAAGAGCCGUGUUCCCACGGAGCCGAAUCACAUGACCUAGCCACACCACAGCCUCUUGCCACACUGCAGGCCCUGGUCCCCAGCUCUCCUAAUAGGUUCAUCAAAGGUGUUCGUGAACUGUUGGCCGGGAGUCAGGGUGGGGCAGUAUUUGGAAAUCACUUUAAAAAAACCAACUUGAAAAUAUGUAUUCCCCUUGACCUUCAAAAGAUGUUCUAAGGUGGUCUUGUAAAGGUCGCCAAAGCCUUCUCUUUUUUUGUUUUUAAACAACCCUCAAUACAUCCACUCAGAGGCCAAAUGUCAUUCCACGUGUGCCUUUCCGAUGGAUUAAAGGUGCUUAUGUUUUUGUGAGAGUUUUAAGUAAAUAUUUGUAUUGUAUUGUUAUAAAUGUUAAGUGUGCCUGGCUUUCAAUCUUGCAUGGAAACCCAGCCUCAGGCCCAUGGGGAGAGCAAGCAGCUGGGACGGGGCACCAGCUUGGGCUUGCAAUCAGGCUCUCCAUAGAGGGCAUCUCCUCACUAUCACCCUGCCCCCAAGAACGUGCAAUAAAUUGGAAAUUUGCUUAGUCAGCAAGAAGCUGCAUUGCCACUGCAGGUGCCUGGGCCCCUUUCCAGACUUUUAAUUAUUUUUUUUCUUUUUGAUUAGCUCUGGAUAAUUUUUUAUGGGGAGGGAAAAAAGGCAUUUGAGAUCCUGCCUUUUCUACAUGCACUCAGAUUAAAACACAGGCUUAAAUUAA